CCUACGGGAGGCAGCAGUGAGGAAUAUUGGUCAAUGGGCGCGAGCCUGAACCAGCCAAGUAGCGUGAAGGAUGACUGCCCUACGGGCUGUAAACUUCUUUUAUAAAGGAAUAAAGUGAUGCACGUCUGCCUUUUUGCAUGUACUUUAUGAAUAAGGAUCGGCUAACUCCGUGCCAGCAGCCGCGGUAAUACGGAGGAUCCGUGCGUUAUCCGGAUUUAUUGGGUUUAAAGGGAGCGUAGAUGGGUUGUUAAGUCAGUUGUGAAAGUUUGCGGCUCAACCGUAAAAUUGCAAUUGAUACUGGCAGUCUUGAGUACAGUUGGGGUAGGCGGAAUUCGUGGUGUAGCGGUGAGAUGCUUAGAUGUCACGAAGAACUCCGAUUGCGAAGGCAGCUUACUAAACUGCCACUGACAUUGAUGCUCGAAAGUGUGGGUAUCAAACAGGAUUAGAUACCCUAGUAGUC
Molecule: ribosomal RNA, 460 nt
Filed under: uncultured bacterium
Lineage: Bacteria
Description: partial 16S ribosomal RNA
Rfam family: Bacterial small subunit ribosomal RNA
Source: RNAcentral